Ornithorhynchus anatinus (platypus) is the source of this 138-nucleotide non-coding RNA. Lineage: Eukaryota; Metazoa; Chordata; Mammalia; Monotremata; Ornithorhynchidae. The record is from Rfam.
CCCCUCUCAGGGUUGCACCUUGAGAAUUUCCAGUAUUCUACCAGUCUCAGCUAUGGGAGGGAGAAUCAAGCAGAGGCUUACCUAUUCCAUUCCUAGCUUAGGCAGUGGCUAGUGAGUGGAAGGUAAUCUCCUGCAAGU